Molecule: ribosomal RNA, 250 nt
Filed under: uncultured prokaryote
Description: partial 16S ribosomal RNA
Rfam family: Bacterial small subunit ribosomal RNA
Source: RNAcentral
UACGGAGGAUGCAAGCGUUAUCCGGAUUUAUUGGGUUUAAAGGGUGCGUAGGCUGUUGGGAAAGUCAGGGGUGAAAGCCCGGCGCUUAACGCCGGAACUGCCUUUGAUACUUCCUGGCUGGAAUACGGAUGCCGUGGGAGGAAUGAGUAGUGUAGCGGUGAAACGCAUAGAUAUUACUCAGAACACCGAUUGCGAAGGCAUCUCUAAUCCGUCAUUGACGCUGAGGCACGAAAGCGUGGGGAUCAAACAG